Molecule: small RNA, 29 nt
Filed under: Bombyx mori (domestic silkworm)
Lineage: Eukaryota; Metazoa; Arthropoda; Insecta; Lepidoptera; Bombycidae
Description: ovarian small RNA-25103
Source: RNAcentral
UCACCAGGUCUAGAAACCACAAAAUGGUC